CCGCUACUCACCAGGUGUAACACAAAGGGGGCUCCGAGCAGCGCUAACCACAGAGCUCACAUAGCUCCCACUGGGUUGGGGAGUGAAGGAUGAAACAUCACAAACAUGUGGGACAGGCUGGAUGGGCAAGUAGGUGUUCUCCUGUGCUGUUGUUUGUAUGAAUCACAUUUUGGAUUGUGUGAUAAAACAGAUGAACCCAAUACUCAAGUGACUGACUGUGUUACAUUCGCUACUUCACACUGCUCCUUAAUAUUUGGUUUAAUCAUCAAAAACCUAAGCACCUUUUUGAAAUGCCUAGCGGCCUAUCUGGAGCUCAAUCAACUGAAGAAAUCCUGGGUUUGUUUAGAAUGCAGGACAGCACACUGACAGUCAAAAGUGUUCUUGGCUGUACACUUGUGUUAACAUGUUCAAAUCUCUGGAGGCUUUGGGUUUCGCUGCAGACUACUGAUUGUGAAAGAGAGGACUGUGAAAUCCAGGAGUUUCUCAGCUUUGUAUUCAUCC
Molecule: long non-coding RNA, 501 nt
Organism: Carcharodon carcharias (great white shark)
Lineage: Eukaryota; Metazoa; Chordata; Chondrichthyes; Lamniformes; Lamnidae
Exons: 3
Source: RefSeq, a predicted model, not a curated record